CCAGAGGAUCGGACGGCCGCCGCGCCAGCGCUCGAAAGGGUGGCGGGGAGGAAAGUCCGGGCUCCACGGAUCAACGGUGCCGGGUAAUGCCCGGCGGGGGCGACCCCAGGGAAAGUGCCACAGAGAGCAGACCGCCCCGAGCGUUCGCGCGGAGGGUAAGGGUGAAAGGGUGCGGUAAGAGCGCACCGCGCUUCCAGCAAUGGCGGC
RNAcentral lists this RNase P RNA (207 nucleotides) under Sphingomonadaceae bacterium. RNAcentral's name for it is "partial RNase P RNA component class A". It matches the Rfam family "Bacterial RNase P class A", at positions 1 to 199 of the family's 367-position model. From Rfam's summary of the family: Ribonuclease P (RNase P) is a ubiquitous endoribonuclease, found in archaea, bacteria and eukarya as well as chloroplasts and mitochondria. Lineage: Bacteria; Pseudomonadati; Pseudomonadota; Alphaproteobacteria; Sphingomonadales; Sphingomonadaceae. The record is from RNAcentral.